Molecule: long non-coding RNA, 1377 nt
Organism: Cyprinus carpio (common carp)
Lineage: Eukaryota; Metazoa; Chordata; Actinopteri; Cypriniformes; Cyprinidae
Source: Ensembl
AACGGCACCCCGCUCCCGCAGGAGCAUUAUAUCUCUCCCCCACUGCUGCAGCAGUGUAUGCUCCCGCAGGAGCCUUUCCGUAUUUCAUCACUGCCGCAGCAGUGUCUGCUCCCGCAAGAGCCUUUCUGUAUUUUCUCACUGCCGCAGCAGUAUCUGCUCCCGCAGGAGCCUUUCCGUAUUUCCCCACUGCCGCAGCAGUGUCUGCUCCCGCAGGAGCCUUUCCGUAUUUCAUCACUGCCGCAGCAGUGUAUGCUCCCGCAGGAGCCUUUCUGUAUUUUCUCACUGCCGCAGCAGUGUCUGCUCCAGCAGGAGCCUUUCUGUAUUUCCUCCGUGCAGUGUCUGCACCCGCAGGAGCCUUUUUUCUGUAUUUCUCACUGCUAGCCGCUAUCACUGCUAGCCACUAUCGCAGGAGCCAAAUUUCUCCACUGCUGCAACAGUGUCUGCUCCCACAGGAACCUUUUCUGUAUUCCCCCAUUGCCGCAGCAGUGUAGGCAGUGUAUCUUCCCUACUGCCACAAUUAUCGCAUCUCCAGCAGUUGUCGUCAUCUCUCUCUUUCAAGUGGACGCUUCCAUGGAAGUCGAAUUCUCGCAAUAAUUAUAUACCAAAGGACGUCCAGCACCCAUCUGACAUUAAGCCCAGAAUUUUGGGGAGUCGCAAAUGUGCGUAUCUGGCUGCUGUCCUGUUCUAAUUGCUUUUUGGGAAGCACUUUGGGCUGGGCCGGACUCCGAGCUCAGACCCCUCUCCACGAGGGCUGCACGAUAAAUUGGAUGUGAUUGCCAUGUGCAUCUCAUCAGUAAAGCCAGUUCUGUGAUUAAUAGUACUGGUAAAUCGCCAUCACGUGCUUUCAGAUUAUUCAGAUGCAUUUAAUACACAGAGCCGUAGAUCACUGACAAGCUACAUUAUAUUGCAUUCAUUAGAUGAAUCGCAUUCGAUUAUGAAUGCGAUAUUGCGUAGUUUGUUAUUGUUAGUAUUUUUAUUAAUGCCAUUUAUGUUUUUGUUAAUACAGCACAUAUCACUAGUCAACUAAAUGAAUGUAACAUGGCAAAUAUGAAUGCACUUUUGGAAGUGGAAUGUAAGGGAAAUGUCAUUUUGGAAUUUCUGUGGUCUAAUGUGAUAUUGUUCAUGUCCUUGGUUCAUGAUGAAAUUUUAUUUUAUUGCUGUAAUUAAUUUAUAGCAUUAACAAGAUGACCCGUUGAAUUAAUUUUUGAAGCAGUGACUGAUGAAUGUAUUUUUAGUCCAGUGCCUGUAUAUAAAAUUAGUAUUGACCAAGUUAAGAGACUGUCAUAUGUGGAUCAACUUACUAUGUUGUGUAUUUUCAUCAGUUUCAAUAACUUUCAUAUUGAUUAAAUGGAUUUAUUGCAUUUUAAGAAAAAAAAA